CCUACGGGGGGCAGCAGUGAGGAAUAUUGGUCAAUGGACGAGAGUCUGAACCAGCCAAGUCGCGUGAAGGAUGACUGCCCUAUGGGUUGUAAACCUCUUUUGUCGGAGAACAAAACCCGGUACGUGUCCCGGGCUGCGAGUAUCCGAAGAAAAAGCAUCGGCUAACUCCGUGCCAGCAGCCGCGGUAAUACGGAGGAUACGAGCGUUAUCCGGAUUUAUUGGGUUUAAAGGGUGCGUAGGCGGUCCGUUAAGUUAGCGGGGAAAUUUCGGGGCUCAACCCCGUCGAGGCCUUUAAAACUGGUAGACUUGAGUAGAGGAGAGGUAGGCGGAAUGUGCGGUGUAGCGGUGAAAUGCAUAGAGAUCGCGCAGAACUCCGAUUGCGAAGGCAGCGUACCGACGCCAGACUGACGCUGAGGCACGAAAGCGUGGGGAGCGAACAGGAUUAGAUACCCCAGUAGUC
RNAcentral lists this ribosomal RNA (460 nucleotides) under uncultured bacterium. RNAcentral describes it as "partial 16S ribosomal RNA". It matches the Rfam family "Bacterial small subunit ribosomal RNA", at positions 338 to 795 of the family's 1533-position model. The record is from RNAcentral.